Molecule: ribosomal RNA, 253 nt
Filed under: uncultured bacterium
Lineage: Bacteria
Description: partial 16S ribosomal RNA
Rfam family: Bacterial small subunit ribosomal RNA
Source: RNAcentral
UACGGAGGAUGCAAGCGUUAUCCGGAAUGAUUGGGCGUAAAGCGCCCGCAGGUGGCAAUGUAAGUCUGCUGUUAAAGAGUCUAGCUCAACUAGAUAAAAGCAGUGGAAACUACAUAGCUAGAGUACGUUCGGGGCAGAGGGAAUUCCUGGUGUAGCGGUGAAAUGCGUAGAGAUCAGGAAGAACACCGGUGGCGAAGGCGCUCUGCUAGGCCGUAACUGACACUGAGGGACGAAAGCUAGGGGAGCGAAUGGG